ACACAUGCAAGUCGAACGGCAGCACGGACUUCGGUCUGGUGGCGAGUGGCGAACGGGUGAGUAAUACAUCGGAACGUGCCUAGUAGUGGGGGAUAACUACUCGAAAGAGUGGCUAAUACCGCAUGAGAUCUACGGAUGAAAGCAGGGGAUCGCAAGACCUUGUGCUACUAGAGCGGCUGAUGGCAGAUUAGGUAGUUGGUGGGAUAAAAGCUUACCAAGCCGACGAUCUGUAGCUGGUCUGAGAGGACGAUCAGCCACACUGGGACUGAGACACGGCCCAGACUCCUACGGGAGGCAGCAGUGGGGAAUUUUGGACAAUGGGCGCAAGCCUGAUCCAGCAAUGCCGCGUGCAGGAUGAAGGCCUUCGGGUUGUAAACUGCUUUUGUACGGAACGAAAAGCUUCGGGCUAAUACCCUGGAGUCAUGACGGUACCGUAAGAAUAAGCACCGGCUAACUACGUGCCAGCAGCCGCGGUAAUANAA
RNAcentral lists this ribosomal RNA (482 nucleotides) under uncultured bacterium. RNAcentral's name for it is "bacterial SSU rRNA". It matches the Rfam family "Bacterial small subunit ribosomal RNA", at positions 51 to 528 of the family's 1533-position model. The record is from RNAcentral.